UACGAAGGGUGCAAACGUUGCUCGGAAUUAUUGGGCGUAAAGCGCACGUAGGCGGCUUAGCAAGUCGGAUGUGAAAUCCCUCGGCUCAACCAAGGAAGUGCAUCCGAAACUGCUGAGCUUGAGUACGAAAGAGGAUCGCGGAAUUCCCGGUGUAGAGGUGAAAUUCGUAGAUAUCGGGAGGAACACCAGUGGCGAAGGCGGCGAUCUGGGUCGAUACUGACGCUGAGGUGCGAAAGCGUGGGGAGCGAACAGG
RNAcentral lists this ribosomal RNA (253 nucleotides) under uncultured bacterium. RNAcentral describes it as "partial 16S ribosomal RNA". It matches the Rfam family "Bacterial small subunit ribosomal RNA", at positions 524 to 776 of the family's 1533-position model. The record is from RNAcentral.